Molecule: RNA transcript, 6395 nt
Organism: Rhineura floridana
Lineage: Eukaryota; Metazoa; Chordata; Lepidosauria; Squamata; Rhineuridae
Gene: IRS1
Gene name: insulin receptor substrate 1
Exons: 3
Source: RefSeq, a predicted model, not a curated record
GACCCCCCUGAGGCUCCGAACGGAUCGGCGCCCAAAGGUAAGCGCGCUCUCUGCGUUGGUGAAUGAAAGCCGCGGCAUACCGGCAGGGAAAGGGCGGACUGGAAUGUUGCGCCACCGAGUUAGAGUGCUGGAGUGUUUUUUCGCCUUCUCGCCGCCGUUGCUGCUGGGGCUGGAGAUGGGGAUGGUCCGCGCACUGGCGCCAUCACGUGUUUUUCUCCUACGAGUGAGACGGAGCGGCGGCGGCUGGAGGGGGCUGGACUCAUAAACAGAGACGCAGCCGCUUGUUUUGGUUUGGGGCUCUUCAGAAAAGUCUGCGGGGCUGCACCUACAGCAGCCGCCGCCAGCAGCCCAAGAAGAGAGACAGCGAGCGGCUGCGUGUUUUUCCCUCGCCUCCUUCGUUCUGGGGCGCGCGAGGAGGAAGAGGACGUAGCGGUGCAGGAAGAAAGGGUUCCUGCUGCUCCCUGCCGCCGUCGCCACCGUUGCUCCUGCGGCGAGCGCCCUCCGAGACUUUCCCGACUGGAAUGAAGAAGAGGAGGAGGAGGUGGACGCAGUCGCCGCCGCGAGGAUGUUCCUGCUCCUCCUCCUCCACUCGGGCAGCUUUCCCUCCUCGCGUUCUUCACCUCCUUCCCUACUCUCGCCCCUGCUGCAGCCGCUUCCUUACAUUUUGUGUUGAAAUGGCACUUUCUCUUCCUAACCAGAUGGGACUGAAUGGGGUCGCCAGCCUUCUCCUCCUGCUGCACAAGCUGAAGAAGCUGAAAUCUCAGCGCUGAUUUGGGGAUAUUUGUUUUGUUUGGAUUCUUCCCGCGCCUCCCUCUUCCCCUCCCGCGAAGGAUAUUUUGACUGACUUUUUUUUUUUGGCGGGGAAGAAUACAUGGUGGCUUGUGUGGUGUUUUGACUGACUGGCUUGAUUCUUAGGAAUGAUUAUUUUUUGAAAAAGCGUUGCCUGUGUUCGACUGAGACUUUUUUUCUUACCCUUUUUUUUGCAACACAAAUCUUCUCUUCCCCCCCUCACCCCCCCUGCGCCCUUCCCUCCCGAGAGGAUAUUUAAUCGGCAACUGAAAUUUGCUUCUUGCUGAGGGGUAACUUGAGAAGGGGAGGGGGCUGUUUGUUUGGGAGAGAAGCGACGGGGGAACCCCAUCCAGCUCCCGUCGCUAGAGGGAUUUCCACCCCGUACGGAUGAAAUUAUGCACUUCUCCCCUUUCCCGGUGGCGGCUGGAGGAGGCUUUUCUACACUGGACUUUUGAAAGCCACGUUUCUCCUGCGAAGGGUGAUUUGGGAAUAAAAACAGCAACUCAAUCUCGGCUUCUGGAGCUGGAAGAAAGCUCUGGUCACUGAACAGCUGUUGGUUGCCUGCUGCUGUCCUAUCCCGUUUUUGGAAAAGGGGGGGGAGUGCUAUUUUGCUGGGAUUUUUGUUUUUGAUUGCUGCUGCAUGAAUUGUACUUUGGGCUGCUGCGUUCAUUCUUUUUUCUCCCUCGCCUCACUCUGCUGUUUUGGAAGCUGCCCCUUACAGUAGGAGCUGCUCUGCCACCUCUGUCCUUUCGGCAUGGCGAGUCCCACAGAUAAUAAUGAGGGCUUCUUCUCAGAUGUCAGAAAGGUGGGUUACUUGCGCAAACCCAAGAGCAUGCACAAGCGCUUCUUCGUGCUGAGGGCAGCCAGCGAGUCGGGACCCGCCCGGCUGGAGUACUAUGAGAAUGAAAAGAAAUGGAGGCACAAGUCAGGGGCUCCAAAGCGCUCUAUCCCACUAGAGAGCUGCUUCAACAUCAACAAGAGGGCAGACUCCAAAAAUAAGUAUCUUGUGGCACUCUACACUAAGGAUGAGCACUUUGCCAUUGCUGCUGACAGUGAGCCUGAGCAAGAAAGCUGGUACCAGGCGCUGCUACAACUGCACAACCGGGCCAAGAGCCAUCAGCAGCACCACCACCACCAUCACCACCACCAUGGGGAUGUCACGAUGGGUGGUGGGAGUGUUGGGAUGGGAGAGGCAGGGGAAGAUACCUAUGGUGAUAUGGCUCCUGGCCCGGCUUUCAAAGAAGUUUGGCAAGUGAUUUUGAAACCCAAGGGUCUGGGUCAGACUAAGAAUCUGAUUGGCAUCUACCGCCUGUGCCUGACCAAUAAGACCAUCAGUUUUGUCAAGCUGAACUCUGAUGCAGCAGCUGUGGUGUUGCAGCUGCUUAACAUCCGGAGGUGUGGCCACUCAGAGAACUUUUUUUUUAUCGAGGUGGGGCGUUCUGCUGUCACCGGACCAGGUGAGUUCUGGAUGCAGGUAGAUGACUCGGUAGUAGCGCAGAACAUGCACGAGACCAUCUUGGAGGCUAUGCGGGCCAUGAGUGAGGAAUUUCGGCCCCGUAGCAAAAGCCAAUCCUCUUCCAAUUGCUCCAAUCCCAUAUCUGUGCCUCUCCGCAGCAGGCAUCACAUAAACAACCCCCCUCCCAGCCAGGUGGGGCUCAGCCGUAGGUCCAGAACUGAAAGUGUGACAGCUACCUCUCCUGCUGGCAGUGGGGUGGGAGGUGGAGGAGGGACUGGGGGCAAGCCCAACUCUUUCCGUGUCAGAGCCUCCAGUGAUGGAGAAGGCACUAUGUCGAGGCCAGCUUCGGUGGAUGGAAGUCCAGUUAGCCCAAGUGCCAAUCGGACCCACUCACACAGGCACCGUGGCAGCUCUAGGCUUCACCCCCCUCUCAACCACAGCCGCUCCAUCCCAAUGCCUUCCUCACGCUGCUCCCCUUCUGCCACGAGCCCGGUCAGCUUGUCAUCCAGCAGCACCAGUGGCCACGGCUCCACCUCAGACUGCCUCUUCCCGCGUCGGUCCAGUGCUUCGGUCUCUGGCUCCCCCAGUGAUGGGGGCUUCAUCUCGUCUGACGAGUAUGGAUCCAGCCCCUGUGACUUCUGCAGCUCCUUCCGCAGCGUUACCCCUGAUUCCCUGGGACACACCCCGCCUGCCCGGGGAGAUGAGGAGCUGAGCAACUACAUAUGCAUGGGGGGAAAGGCUGCCUCAUCUUGUUGCAGCAUCACUGCUCCUAAUGGCCAUUUCAACCCCCGCACUUGCCAUCCUCAGCAGCAAACACGCUGCCCUGGUGCCCCAUGUUGCUCCCGUCUUGGUGGUGAGGAUGUGGGUGAGCUGGAGAAAGGAUUCAGGAAGCGGACUCAUUCAGCUGGUACCUCCCCUACCAUCUCCCACCAGAAGACUCCCUCGCAGUCCUCGGUAGCCUCCAUUGAGGAAUAUACUGAGAUGCUCCCCUCGUAUUCCUGUGGCAACAGCAGGCUCUCCUCUUAUCGACAUUCUGCAUUUGUACCAACCCAUUCUUACCCCGAGGAGCAUCUAGAGAUGCAUCAGGGGGAGGGCAACCACCACCGGACCAACUCUGCCCCACGCACUGAUGAUGGGUACAUGCCAAUGUUGCCAGGAGUGGCCCCUGUUCCCAAUGGUGGUAAUACCCCCAAAGGUGGUGAUUAUAUGCCAAUGAGUCCUAAGAGUGUGUCUGCCCCACAGCAGAUAAUCAACCCUGGGAGAGGAGGUCGUCAUGUACAGGCCAUGGUGGACUCCAAUGGCUAUAUGAUGAUGUCCCCCAGUGGCAGUUGCUCUCCAGACAGUGGUUCUGCUGGCUACAGCAAGCUAUGGAUGAAUGGGGCUAGCCACCACCCCAAGCUGUCAGUGGAGAGUAAUGAAGGAAAGCUGCCAAGUGGUGGGAGCGAUUACAUCAACAUGUCUCCAGCCAGUGGCUCUGCUACUAGCACCCCUCCAGAUUGCUACUUCACCAGCUCAGGUCCUCCAGGUCCAGAAGAGCCAUCCAUGCAGGACCCCAACCAGUCCCAUCACAAACCCAUCUACUCCUACUUCUCUCUGCCACGUUCCUUCAAACAUAUGCCACGCAGGACAGGUGAAGAGGGAAAUCCCCAGAUGCGCAUGUCCUUCAGCUCUGGUCACUUGCUUUAUGCUGCUGCUGAGGACUCCUCCUCCUCCACGAGUAGUGAUAGCCUUGGUGGCCCUGCGGGACAGGAGGGUGGGGGUUAUUCUCUUCCCACUCAAACACAGCCAUUGCAGCCUGCUCCUCCUUGUACUGUGGAUAUGGCUGCGCGGACCAAGAGCCGUCUGGCCAGACCUACCCGCCUGUCCUUGGAUGGCCCAAAGGCCAGCACUUUGCCUCGCACUCGGGAACAGGUCCCAGAGCCCAAAAGCCCUGGUGAGUAUGUGAACAUUGAAUUCAAGCAACCAGCCUUCCCAUCACCUUUGCCCCAUGGAGACACUGGCUCCAGUUUAGAGGAGUAUAUGAAUAUGGAUUGGGGGGCUGCCUGCCCAGCCAGCUUGGCAUCCAUGCAACCACGCCAGGCUGGGGCAGGCCCCACUGGUGGCCGUGACUAUAUGAGCAUGCAGCUGGACAAUGGGGGGCAGUAUGUAGGCUGUGCCCACACCCGCUCACCUUCCCCUCCAGCUCUUCUGCUCAGCUAUGCCAACAUGAGGAUGGGCCAUGGUAGGCCUGAGAAAAGCUUGCCAUCUGUGGCGCUUCCUUCCCCACAUCCCCAGACUCAGCCAGGUGAGCUGCCUGUGAUCUUGCCCCACUCCUGUUCCUCGUCCAUGAUGGGGGCCCCAGGGAUGAGCAGCGCCUUUACACACGUCAGCCCUAGCCGCAGCAGCCAGAGUGCCAAAGUGAUCCGCGCUGACCCACAGGGAGGCCGUCGUCGUCACAGCUCUGAGACGUUUGCUUCCUCCACCACCCCUAGUGGUGGCCUCGGUGCCUCAGCACCACCCCAUGGACCAGGAGGAGGUCCUGAGGAUGCAAAGCGCCAUAGCUCAGCCUCCUUUGAAAAUGUCUGGCUCAAGCCUACGUCUGGGGAGCUGGGGACCUUCUCUGCCCUUGGCAUGGCAAUCAGGAGGGAGCAGGCUGCUGGUGGGACUGGGGGAGGUGUUGAGAAUGGGCUCAAUUACAUCGACCUGGACUUGGUGAAGGAUUUUAAUCGCCACCAACAUCACCACCCUCACCCUCAGGAGAGUACUUCUCUGCUAGGGGUCAAGCAGCCAACGCAGCAGCAGCAGCCACAGAAAUCUCCUAAUCAGCCUUGUGGGAGUAGCCACUUGAGUGAUGAAUUAAGUGCAUAUGCCAGCAUCAGCUUCCACAAGCGGGAGGACAUCCAGUAGCUGGGCGAGAGCCAGAGACAAGACAGUGAUUGUCUCCCAAAGUGUGUCACAUCAAUAAAAGAGUGAUUGAGAGAAGGAGGCUCUACCAUCAGGUUUACAGACUAAAAAGGCAAGAUGCACAAGGGAAGGGAAGCGGAGUGCUUCAAGAUGUGAAUAAAGUGGUGAACUACAAGCAGGCAUUUCUAUCCAGAGCGAUGACCUAUACAACCUCAGAGAAAUCCUUCUUUGAACCAUGGGUAUCAAGACUCUGUUUUGUGUAUCACAACUAGGACCUCACAUCUUCUUUCCCAGUAGAUGGGUACGAUGCAUCCAGUUCAAUUUGUUUACUUUACACAAACCUCAGGAGUUAGUUGACUGAACUGCACGUUCUUCGUUUUCUUCUCCUUUUCCCCCUCUUGUGCCAAGCAAAAGCACUGUGACAUCUGGACAAUGAGUUUAUGAUUACUUCCUCCUCCUACCAUAAAAGCUGGUUACAGUGAACUAAUGUGCCCACCACUGUAAAAUGGUGAGAAUGAGUAUACUACUAGCUCAUUUACAUAAGACAUGACAUUUUAAUUUGCUGCUGAAAAACCUGUAUGACAAAUCAUCAGUGUAAAUUAUUACAUAUGAACUGUUAAUGUUGGUUGAAGAGUAUUAAAUAUUUAACAUAGGUUUUUGAUUUAUACAUGUACUUUUUUAAUUAAAAAUGUAACUUUUCCUACAGCACAUCUUUUUUUGAUGUGGAACUGAGGUAUACUAUAUUCUGUUGUAAACAGAGUGGGGUUGGGGUGGGGAAAACUGUUAAAAAUAAGGCAAUUUAAGAAUAGAGUAGGGUACUAUUCUUUUUAAGAUUGUAAUUCAGAAUAUAAUAUAAUAUGAAUCAGUGGGCCCGUGGAUCUGGAUUGUACAGUCACAUUUACUGAUAUCAUCGUUUGUAAGAUAACUCUGCGACUGAGCUGAAUUCUUUCAAAAAUAAAAUAAUAUUUUGUACUCUUCCUGUAAAACAUUAGGCUGUAUUAAUGAAAAUGCAAAGUUAACUGUGCAUGUAUUUACAAGUGUGAAUUUGAAAUUGUUCAUUGCACAGGAAAUUUUAAAACAUCAGAAAAAUAAAUCUAAGUCUUCCAUUGUAUAUAUAUAUAUAUAUAUAUAUAUAUUGAAGAAGAAAACAAAUGAAACAUGGGUGAACACUUCAAAUCAAAAUAUCCUUGGAAUGAAAUAUGUGGGUGUUUGUAAAUUCUGGAAAUCUCUUUCUAUACAUAAUAAACUAGAUACUGUUUUAUCUUUA